Molecule: ribosomal RNA, 381 nt
Filed under: uncultured marine Chaetocerotaceae
Lineage: Eukaryota; Bacillariophyta; Thalassiosirophyceae; Chaetocerotales; Chaetocerotaceae
Description: SSU rRNA
Rfam family: Eukaryotic small subunit ribosomal RNA
Source: RNAcentral
AGCUCCAAUAGCGUAUAUUAAAGUUGCUGCAGUUAAAAAGCUCGUAGUUGCAUUUCCGAGGCAAGGGAUUAGUCCGACCUUUGGUGGGUAUUUAAUCCUCUUGCCUCGUCCUUGAGUGGUGCUUCUUGGUAUUAUGUUAUCGUGGAGAUAGCCGCUCAUCGUUUACUGUGAGAAAAUUAGAGUGUUCAAAGCAGGCUUAUGCCGUUGAAUAUAUUAGCAUGGAAUAAUAAGAUAGGACCUCGGUACUAUUUUGUUGGUUUGAGAACCAAGGUAAUGAUGAAUAGGGACAGUUGGGGGUAUUCGUAUUCAGUUGUCAGAGGUGAAAUUCUUAGAUUUACGGAAGACGAACUACUGCGAAAGCAUUUACCAAGGAUGUUUUCA